AGUUUCUAGACGAAACGUCAGUCUGGGCAAAUCUCCGCUAAGGAGGAGCAUGGGAAUAGCUUUGAAUUAGUGACAAUUCUUUUCGCCAGUUUUGCAUAAGUUUCAAUUGUAUAGACAUUGAAAAUGUGAUUUGCUUAAAAUCUAUUCUGUUCAUAGAGAUAAAUAAAUUGAAUUUUGCAUUCUUUUCAGAUUGUAAAGAACGAAAAUUUAAUCGUUAUGAACAUGUUUAGUUUGAAAGAGUUAGCCCUUCAAAAGAUUGUAAAGGAAAGGGAGUCAUUUUUUCAGAAUUCACCAAAGAAUGGUUACAUAAUCCCGUAUAGAAUUGCUGAAGAAUUAUUGAGUCGACUUGACGAAGAGGAAUUUGGAAUUCCCGAAAAUUAUAUAAAGUGUUUUCUUGGAAAGAAAGCUAUUUUGAAAAAUGUCAAGAUGGAUGGACAUCGUUUGUCUGACAAGUCUUAUCUGUCUUUUCUGAAAUGUAGUUAUAUAGAAACAAUUUCCAUAGAGAAUAUUAGACACAUGGGAAUUAAAGAUUGGUUCCAUCUAGUUAAUGGAAGUAAUCUAAGAGAAUUAUCUUUAAAGCAGUGCGUAUUUCGUCUAGGAAAUGGAAAUAAUUCCAGCGUUAAUCUCUAUGAUGAAUUCGAUUUGAGGUCAAUGAAAUGUCUAACGGUACUUAACGUUAGUUUUACAAAUUUUGAUUAUCAAUAUCUCAAUUAUAUCUGCAAAGAAUUGCCAGAUUUGGAAGAAUUGAAUAUUUCCAGUACAUUAGUUGAUGAUUUAACGCCCCUUGAAAAGCUAAAAAAUUUGAAGGCACUCAAUUGUUCAUAUUGUCAAGAUAGAGCUCUAUAUUUGACCUAUUCGUCCUUACACCAGUUAAAAAAAUUAGAAUGGUUAGAUUUGUCCCAAAUGAUGGAAAGACGAAAUGAAGAAGAGAAAAUUUCUGAAUUUAUCGUAUCUGCUCAAUGGCCAAAUUUACAACAUUUGCAUAUGUUUGGCUGUUGGCGAUUAAGCCCCGAACUAAUUCCAAUUUUCUUAAAGAAUCAUUCCAAACUAAAAUAUCUUGGUUUGAACUAUUCAGAACAAGGCUCUAUAGACUUAAAUGAGAUUCGACAGAAUUAUCCGUACGGAUCAUUUCCUUUAGUUAUCACCGAGUUGACUAUGGAAACAUUUCGAAACUUUCUGAAAUAUUCUCUAACUGCCAAAAAGGAAUUUACGGAAGAUCUAAUGUCAAUUUACUUUAAGAAUUGUCUUGCAAUAAGCAAUCACGACUACGAAAUGACAAUACUAUCGGAUUUUGAAAAGAACCAAAUACUAGAUAUUCUUAUAGAUUAUAUUGUUACGGCAAAAAAUAGCUUAAAUUCAUCUUUAGGAAGUUUUGAGCUGUUAAAUUUUGUUGUUGGCUUUCAUAUCUAUUGUUCCCUUUUUCUAAGAUUUAAGGAUUUAUGCUCUGAUUGGAGAAAAAAGAAAAAGAUAUUUGAUAGCUGUUUAACAGCUUUCAAUCAUUGUGUCAAUGAAGAAAACAUAAAUGUUUUACAUUUAAAGUUACUUCAUGUUUAUUCAAAUUUCUUUCAGACGACUCAAGAAAAAUAUGGAAUAGCAAUGAAAAUAUUCUCGAAGUGUCAAAAAAGUAGUGAUAUACUUGAGAGUAUUCCUCUAUUAACUGAAUUAUUUAGUACACUCGAUUGGGAAGAGUUAUCGGACAAAAAUAUUCAAGAGUUACACUUGAGCUUUAUCGGCUUUAUUGAUCAAUCCAAAAGAGUUUUGAACUAUACAGAAUCGAUUGUUCUAUUGAAGGAACUCUAUCAGAAAAAGCUUAGAUUAAGAGUAAAGACGAGCUUACAAUCGAUUAUUAAGACAGUCAAAAUUAAUAGAUGGACAAAAUUCAAAUUAUCUCUAAGGAAGACUUUCAAUCGUCUAAAAUUGAUAAAAAGGAAAUGAUAAGAAAAAGAAAUCAAGGCUAUCUUUCUUUGUUUUUUUUUCCCCUUUUUUUUGAAAUUCUUCUUUUUGCUAUGAUUGAAUGAUAUUUAAAAAAGGAAUAAAAAGAGCAGCAUUUACAUUUAACUCUA
This 2063-nucleotide unclassified non-coding RNA is filed under the name Dimorphilus gyrociliatus. Its description in RNAcentral is "dgyrCDS8599". The record is from RNAcentral. Lineage: Eukaryota; Metazoa; Annelida; Polychaeta; Dinophilidae.